This 1314-nucleotide ribosomal RNA is filed under the name Escherichia coli. RNAcentral describes it as "partial 23S ribosomal RNA". It matches the Rfam family "Bacterial large subunit ribosomal RNA", at positions 222 to 1578 of the family's 2925-position model. Lineage: Bacteria; Pseudomonadati; Pseudomonadota; Gammaproteobacteria; Enterobacterales; Enterobacteriaceae. The record is from RNAcentral.
AAAUCAACCGAGAUUCCCCCAGUAGCGGCGAGCGAACGGGGAGCAGCCCAGAGCCUGAAUCAGUAUGUGUGUUAGUGGAAGCGUCUGGAAAGGCGCGCGAUACAGGGUGACAGCCCCGUACACAAAAAUGCACAUGCUGUGAGCUCGAUGAGUAGGGCGGGACACGUGGUAUCCUGUCUGAAUAUGGGGGGACCAUCCUCCAAGGCUAAAUACUCCUGACUGACCGAUAGUGAACCAGUACCGUGAGGGAAAGGCGAAAAGAACCCCGGCGAGGGGAGUGAAAAAGAACCUGAAACCGUGUACGUACAAGCAGUGGGAGCACGCUUAGGCGUGUGACUGCGUACCUUUUGUAUAAUGGGUCAGCGACUUAUAUUCUGUAGCAAGGUUAACCGAAUAGGGGAGCCGAAGGGAAACCGAGUCUUAACUGGGCGUUAAGUUGCAGGGUAUAGACCCGAAACCCGGUGAUCUAGCCAUGGGCAGGUUGAAGGUUGGGUAACACUAACUGGAGGACCGAACCGACUAAUGUUGAAAAAUUAGCGGAUGACUUGUGGCUGGGGGUGAAAGGCCAAUCAAACCGGGAGAUAGCUGGUUCUCCCCGAAAGCUAUUUAGGUAGCGCCUCGUGAAUUCAUCUCCGGGGGUAGAGCACUGUUUCGGCAAGGGGGUCAUCCCGACUUACCAACCCGAUGCAAACUGCGAAUACCGGAGAAUGUUAUCACGGGAGACACACGGCGGGUGCUAACGUCCGUCGUGAAGAGGGAAACAACCCAGACCGCCAGCUAAGGUCCCAAAGUCAUGGUUAAGUGGGAAACGAUGUGGGAAGGCCCAGACAGCCAGGAUGUUGGCUUAGAAGCAGCCAUCAUUUAAAGAAAGCGUAAUAGCUCACUGGUCGAGUCGGCCUGCGCGGAAGAUGUAACGGGGCUAAACCAUGCACCGAAGCUGCGGCAGCGACGCUGAUGCGUUGUUGGGUAGGGGAGCGUUCUGUAAGCCUGCGAAGGUGUGCUGUGAGGCAUGCUGGAGGUAUCAGAAGUGCGAAUGCUGACAUAAGUAACGAUAAAGCGGGUGAAAAGCCCGCUCGCCGGAAGACCAAGGGUUCCUGUCCAACGUUAAUCGGGGCAGGGUGAGUCGACCCCUAAGGCGAGGCCGAAAGGCGUAGUCGAUGGGAAACAGGUUAAUAUUCCUGUACUUGGUGUUACUGCGAAGGGGGGACGGAGAAGGCUAUGUUGGCCGGGCGACGGUUGUCCCGGUUUAAGCGUGUAGGCUGGUUUUCCAGGCAAAUCCGGAAAAUCAAGGCUGAGGCGUGAUGACGAGGCACU